RNAcentral lists this transfer RNA (75 nucleotides) under Candidatus Woesearchaeota archaeon. Its description in RNAcentral is "tRNA-Glu". It matches the Rfam family "tRNA". Rfam says of the family: Transfer RNA (tRNA) molecules are approximately 80 nucleotides in length. Their secondary structure includes four short double-helical elements and three loops (D, anti-codon, and T loops). Further hydrogen bonds mediate the characteristic L-shaped molecular structure. tRNAs have two regions of fundamental functional importance: the anti-codon, which is responsible for specific mRNA codon recognition, and the 3' end, to which the tRNAs corresponding amino acid is attached (by aminoacyl-tRNA synthetases). tRNAs cope with the degeneracy of the genetic code in two manners: having more than one tRNA (with a specific anti-codon) for a particular amino acid; and 'wobble' base-pairing, i.e. permitting non-standard base-pairing at the 3rd anti-codon position. The record is from RNAcentral. Lineage: Archaea; Nanobdellati; Candidatus Woesearchaeota.
GCCCCGUUAGUCUAGCCCGGUCAAGGACACGACCCUCUCAAGGUCGAAACCCGAGUUCGAAUCUCGGACGGGGCA